Molecule: long non-coding RNA, 962 nt
Filed under: Homo sapiens (human)
Lineage: Eukaryota; Metazoa; Chordata; Mammalia; Primates; Hominidae
Description: HSALNT0397040
Source: RNAcentral
CCAGCUACUAGAGGACGCCCGUUCCAAUGGCAACUCUGCCAAGGCGCCUAUGAGAGCCUCUUGGCUUUUACCUGGUCUGCGAGAAAUCAAACUUUGGGCACAAGUCAUGAAGCCGACAAGCCCGGGAGACACAGUGUCAGAAUUACAAGGUGAGAUCAGCCGCCCGGCCAAGCUAUCUUCUCGCUAGCAGAUGAAGCUGCUUUGGUGGAAGGUGCUAAAAAGCUGGGCUUUGUACAGUGAGAACACCAUAUUCGGUCAUCAUAGAAGCAAUAGAGCUUUGGAGCCAAACCCUUCUGAUGAUCCAAGGGCAAGCACAGUCUUCUUGCAAAAAUCUCAAACAGAUGGUGAGACGACACUGUUUUUUCCACCAAGAAGACGACUGAAAACUCUCUGUCAUAAUGAGUGUAUUAUAGAAAGCAUUUAGAGAAACUUACAUUGGUUUAAAAUUUUCAACUUUUCAUAUAUUCACUUGUCCUAUUUUAAUGUGUGAAAUACUUCUCUUUAGUUGUUACUGUGUGAGUGAAAACAUGUAAACUUUCUGUUUAUACAUUUUGCUACCUUUUGGCAACACCAUUUGUCAUGUGAUUUAAGAGUAGUCAUAGAUUUAUCUUUAUUCAUAAUUUUUUAUUCAUAUUUUUUGUCUUUCGCCCUUUUUCCCUUGCUCCAAAGAGUUCAUUUUAAUGAUGAAUGAUAGAAUUUAGGCUUCAGCUUGAUCUUUAUUUAAACAAAUAAAAAAACCAUUUGUUCAUCAAUGGGGAUUGAAUUUGUGAUUUCAGCCUCCUCUUAUACAGUGCUUUAACCAUAUGAGCUUAUCACAUCCAAGUUUAUGCUACUCAAAACUUUUAAGCUAUUAAACUUUUCCUGCUAAUGUAAUAUAAAUUUAAACAUCCAGUACUCCUGCUUAUAUUUUAAAUGUUAUGGUAAAUCCUAGUUUAUUUGAUUAAAAAGCCAUAUACAACCAA